This is a long non-coding RNA of Apis dorsata (giant honeybee), 265 nucleotides long. RefSeq lists it as uncharacterized. The record is from RefSeq and is a predicted model, not a curated record. NCBI's taxonomy places the organism in Eukaryota, Metazoa, Arthropoda, Insecta, Hymenoptera, Apidae. The transcript is spliced from 2 exons.
UUUAUUCGCGAUCUCGUGGAUUUUUAACAAUUUUUUUUUUUAUCUACGCGCGACUUUUAGUUAUUGUAAUUUAGAAAUUAAGUCGAAUUUCGAUUAGAUUCGAUUAGAUUAAAUUAAUUAGAUUAAAUUAGAUGAUCCAGAGAAGAAUGAAGAAUUUUUUUUUAAUUUUGGCGAACCUAUUGGCGACCACGUGGAUUUUUAAUAAUUUUUAUAUACGCGCGAAUUUUAAUUAUUAUAGUUUAGAAAUUAAGUUAAAUUUCGAUUA